Molecule: transfer RNA, 68 nt
Filed under: Stichopus horrens (warty sea cucumber)
Lineage: Eukaryota; Metazoa; Echinodermata; Holothuroidea; Aspidochirotida; Stichopodidae
Also listed under: 1 other name
Description: tRNA-Asp
Rfam family: tRNA
About the family: Transfer RNA (tRNA) molecules are approximately 80 nucleotides in length.
Source: RNAcentral
AAGGCUUUAGUUUAGAAAAACAUUGGACUGUCAGACCAAGGACAUGAGUUAAAAUCUCAUAAGCCUUG